UGUAAUCGGGUGCAUCGAUGGGACUCAUGUACGGAUCCAGGCCCCUUCACACGACGAAAAUUCCUUCGUGAAUAGGAAAGGAUUUCACAGCAUCAAUGUCCAAGCUGUAUGUGACCACGAAGGAAAGCUUACAAACAUCAAUGCAUCUUGGCCUGGGUCUGUACAUGAUUCCCACAUCUUCAGAACAUCACAGAUCAGAACAUAUUUGGAGGAGGAGGAGAACGGUCUAUUUGAAAAUGGAGUUUUG
Molecule: long non-coding RNA, 247 nt
Organism: Saccostrea echinata
Lineage: Eukaryota; Metazoa; Mollusca; Bivalvia; Ostreida; Ostreidae
Exons: 3
Source: RefSeq, a predicted model, not a curated record